This is a non-coding RNA of Pelobates cultripes (western spadefoot toad), 549 nucleotides long. Lineage: Eukaryota; Metazoa; Chordata; Amphibia; Anura; Pelobatidae. The record is from the annotation of a GenBank genome assembly.
GCACAACAUACCGAUGGCGCCUCAACCGCACCCUGCUGGUGACACAUAGCGGGAACACCCACGAGAUUCAUGACCUCCAGGGAGCACUGGACUUGCUACCCAUACUGGGACUACCUCUAGAUGCCAUACGUACCACGACAACCUCCGAGACCACCAAACCAAGGCACAGGUGGAACCUGGAAAGGGUGAAAACUUUCCCCCCGUCUGCCCUAAGCGGAAACAAGAUUGCACAUCACCCUAAACGGCAGACAGACGGGGUUACAACACACCCAGUACCUAGAUACCUCCCAAGCUAUAUAAUUAUCUAAUGAUAACAGAGGGAAGAGAACACCACAGAACGAUACACUGCAUUACUUAGCCCAACACCUCUCGAACAGCUGAUUAAAGCAUAGGCGGAUUAACCCCACAGCACACAUACUAACAGAGCAGACAACACCAACUAGCUUGACACACGCCAGAUAUCAUAAGGCCUCUCCAAAGCCAUUGUCAGGACCGUAUCUUUCAUACACAUUGGCCACUCUACGGCUAUUAUCAUUACCCUGCUACAAC